GUUCCCUGUACUCCAUGCGUCUAAAAUAAACGUAGCCCGUCUUAUUUAAAAUUUUUCUAUAAUUAGCAUAUUAUUAUUAUUAGAUUAUAAAACAUGAAUAGUUAUGUUUUUAUUUUUUAAAAAAAUUUAAAUAAGAUGGACGAUUAAAGUUGUGCACGGAAAUUCAUGACUGCGUUUAUU
Molecule: microRNA precursor, 180 nt
Filed under: Oryza rufipogon (brownbeard rice)
Lineage: Eukaryota; Viridiplantae; Streptophyta; Magnoliopsida; Poales; Poaceae
Description: MIR812 microRNA precursor family
Rfam family: MIR812 microRNA precursor family
Source: Rfam by way of RNAcentral